Carya illinoinensis is the source of this 754-nucleotide long non-coding RNA. RefSeq lists it as uncharacterized. The transcript is spliced from 2 exons. The record is from RefSeq and is a predicted model, not a curated record. Lineage: Eukaryota; Viridiplantae; Streptophyta; Magnoliopsida; Fagales; Juglandaceae.
UCGUCCAUCCACACGUUGAACACACAAAUUCCAAUGGCUUGUCCAUCAAUAGUACACUACUUAUGAUUGAAUCCAUUAUAAUUAUAAAAGAAUUAAUCUACGGAGAAGCCACUGUUUCGGUGCAUCCAUUGCACACAUGAUGUGGCCUAGUAAAUUGACCAAUUUGCCCCUACAGCUGUGCGUUCCCACUCAGAUUUCAUUUCACCCAUUUUCUAUACGAAACAAAGCUCCAUCUGCACUCUCCCCCCACCCCCUCUUCUCGCCUAUCCUCUUCCCCACCCCCACCGCGGCACCUAGCCCUCAAUCCACCGAAUCUCUUAACAGCUUCAUCUUCUGAUUUCCCACCUUGUCUGUGUUCUCCUCUCUGCCCAGAAUCUCUUCACAGCUUCAUCUUUCUUCUUCUUGGUUGGGCACCUUCGAUUUCGUCUGCAGGGAUCUUGGUAUAGAGCUUGAUGGGAAAUAGGGAAGAAAACACAUCUGCCAACCUACCAAUAUGAAAGGCAAAGAAACUCAAGACGAAGCUGGAUUGGAAAUUAUUUUGGUGUGAUUUGUGCUGUAAUUAUUUUGUAUUCGAAAAACAAUAAUGUAUGUCAGUCAGUGUUAAGAUAUGGAUAUUAGGUCAUUUGUAAUGUUCAUCCAAUUAAUGUGUUUUUGAAAUGUUGUAAUGUUGUAAUAUUUGUAAGACAUUUUGGAAUGUAACUUUGAAUGUUACUUACAAAAACAUGUUUAUAAUGUAAUUGUUUACAUUGCAUUC